Molecule: ribosomal RNA, 253 nt
Filed under: uncultured bacterium
Lineage: Bacteria
Description: partial 16S ribosomal RNA
Rfam family: Bacterial small subunit ribosomal RNA
Source: RNAcentral
UACGUAGGUGACAAGCGUUGUCCGGAUUUACUGGGCGUAAAGAGCGCGCAGGCGGUCGAUCAAGUCGAGUGUGAAAGCCCCCGGCUCAACUGGGGAGGGUCAUUCGAUACUGAUCGACUCGAAGGCAGGAGAGGGUAGUGGAAUUCCCGGUGUAGUGGUGAAAUGCUUAGAUAUCGUCAAGAACACCUAUAGCGAAGGCAGCUUACUAGGCUGUAACUGACGCUGAGGCACGAAAGUGUGGGGAUCAAACAGG